RNAcentral lists this ribosomal RNA (454 nucleotides) under uncultured bacterium. RNAcentral describes it as "partial 16S ribosomal RNA". It matches the Rfam family "Bacterial small subunit ribosomal RNA", at positions 28 to 507 of the family's 1533-position model. The record is from RNAcentral.
GAUGAACGCUGACAGAAUGCUUAACACAUGCAAGUCAACUUGAACUUCGGUUUGGGUGGCGGACGGGUGAGUAACGCGUAAAGAACUUGCCUCACAGCUAGGGACAACAUUUGGAAACGAAUGCUAAUACCUGAUAUUAUGAUUUUAGGGCAUCCUAGAAUUAUGAAAGCUAUAUGCGCUGUGAGAGAGCUUUGCGUCCCACUAGCUAGUUGGAGAGGUAACGGCUCACCAAGGCGAUGAUGGGUAGCCGGCCUGAGAGGGUGAACGGCCACAAGGGGACUGAGACACGGCCCUUACUCCUACGGGAGGCAGCAGUGGGGAAUAUUGGACAAUGGACCAAGAGUCUGAUCCAGCAAUUCUGUGUGCACGAUGAAGUUUUUCGGAAUGUAAAGUGCUUUCAGUUGGGAAGAAAAAAAUGACGGUACCAACAGAAGAAGUGACGGCUAAAUACGUG